GAACGUCCUCAAUGGGGAACCCAAAAUGAUAAACUGCAGCAAUGUGUUUUGGACAAAACACCAGAGAAAAACCUCAACGCACUGCUUGAACACAGGGUCAGUUACAAAGUGCUAUUGGAAUGAAGCACUAUUUAUUGCACAGCAGAGACAAGUGAAGCAUGGAUUUUUCAUACUCAUCUGGAGACUAUCUUUUUCUGGAGUUUUUUAAAAUCUACAGUACAGAGAUCUCUUUUUCUUGUCAGUAGUAAAGCCAAUGUGAACAGUCUCUUUUGUGCACCAUUUGCCUUCAUCAUGAGGAAUAAUGGAGAUCCUAAUGGUUAAGAACAGUGAACAAAUACAAGUACACUCUUCAGGCCUUGCUUCAUAACUGUGAGACAAGCUGCAGCUUGGCACUGUAAUUAUGGAACAACAGAAGAGGCUUUGUACUUAAGGAUCUCAAGCCCUUGUGACAGGAUUCACUAGAGGAGCACUCCUGAUUUCUCUGUUGAAUUCUUAGACCUUCCAUAUCAGCAUGAACUUCUAGCACUGCAAAUUUCAAGAACUCUGAAACUGAUGCUAUGAAACACAGAGGUUGGCCUGAAUUUGUGGGAUUUUUCUUCAAAUCACAAAAUUGCUCACUAAUGCCCUCUCCUCCAGAAAACAAAAGAUUUCAAUCAUUGGCAUGAAAACAGUUUGGUUUGAAUGGCCCUAAAUUGUUCUCUUUGUAAAUUUUUUCCUUGAUGAAAAAAUAAAUGAGAAGUUUUAGAUGUGA
Molecule: long non-coding RNA, 751 nt
Organism: Taeniopygia guttata (zebra finch)
Lineage: Eukaryota; Metazoa; Chordata; Aves; Passeriformes; Estrildidae
Source: RefSeq, a predicted model, not a curated record